Molecule: long non-coding RNA, 570 nt
Organism: Lepidothrix coronata (blue-crowned manakin)
Lineage: Eukaryota; Metazoa; Chordata; Aves; Passeriformes; Pipridae
Exons: 5
Source: RefSeq, a predicted model, not a curated record
GGUUUGGUUUGGUUGAAAGACUGAACUAGCUUGCCAGAGGGAAUUCAGAGGAAACCAGAACAUUUUCCCAAAGAGAAGAGAAAUAAACUAAUUCCUUAUGAAAGUUGCUGGAUGGACAAGUCCUGGAGGAACUGUAGUGGAUUCCUCUGCCUUUCUUCACCCCUAGGCUGGUCCUCUGCGCGUGUCUCACACAUAAGGAACUCUGGUUGAUCGCUAUCCAUCUUUUCUGUUGAGGACAUCUAAGGUUUAACAAAGGAUGUAUUUUCUUUACUCUUCAGUCUGGAUUUCUCUCAGUGUGAGAAGAUUAAACCUGAAAGACUGUAUGUUGAAGUCCAUGCUUAUAUCACUGUUAAGCUUGCAAAUGGGAAAAUGAGAGAGGCUACUUUCGGUCGCUCGUGAGCUACAUGUAUUUUGUGUGUUUAUAUACAUGAAACUGCUAAGAAGAUACCUCUGGGAUGAUUUUCUUCAAUUUUGAGUUCUGGGCAUAUGCAGAAUUAUACAUCCAUCUCUACAGAAGCAAAUCUACUGAGCACAAAGCUUAACUACAGAGUUGCAGAACAGUAGAAGAAG